AGUAAUACGUGGGUAACCUGCCCAGAAGCAGGGGAUAACACCUGGAAACAGAUGCUAAUACCGUAUAACAGAGAAAACCGCCUGGUUUUCUUUUAAAAGAUGGCUCUGCUAUCACUUCUGGAUGGACCCGCGGCGCAUUAGCUAGUUGGUGAGGUAACGGCUCACCAAGGCGAUGAUGCGUAGCCGACCUGAGAGGGUAAUCGGCCACAUUGGGACUGAGACACGGCCCAG
This 231-nucleotide ribosomal RNA is filed under the name uncultured Lactobacillaceae bacterium. Its description in RNAcentral is "partial 16S ribosomal RNA". It matches the Rfam family "Bacterial small subunit ribosomal RNA", at positions 109 to 334 of the family's 1533-position model. Lineage: Bacteria; Bacillati; Bacillota; Bacilli; Lactobacillales; Lactobacillaceae. The record is from RNAcentral.